GGGAUCGAAGAUGAUUAGAUAGCAUCGUAGUCUUAACCGUAAACGAUGCCGACUUGCGAUUGUCCGAUGGUUUUUCUUUAGCCGUGGGCAGCAGCACAUGAGAAAUCAAAGUCUUUGGGUUCCGGGGGGAGUAUGGUCGCAAGGCUGAAACUUAAAGGAAUUGACGGAAGGGCACACCAGGAGUGGAGCCUGCGGCUUAAUUUGACUCAACACGGGGAAACUUACCAGGUCCAGACAAAGUAAGGAUUGACAGAUUGAGAGCUCUUUCUUGAUUCUUUGGGUGGUGGUGCAUGGCCGUUCUUAGUUGGUGGAGUGGUUUGUCUGGUUAAUUCCGAUAACGAACGAGACCCCAACCUGCUAACUAGACUAGUUUUGCUCACGCAAGACUAGCGCUUCUUAGAGGGACAUUUCGGAUCUACCGGAAGGAAGUUUGUG
This 435-nucleotide ribosomal RNA is filed under the name Thraustochytriidae sp. Its description in RNAcentral is "SSU rRNA". It matches the Rfam family "Eukaryotic small subunit ribosomal RNA", at positions 994 to 1449 of the family's 1831-position model. The record is from RNAcentral. Lineage: Eukaryota; Bigyra; Thraustochytrida; Thraustochytriidae.